This is a long non-coding RNA of Hemicordylus capensis (graceful crag lizard), 8655 nucleotides long. RefSeq lists it as uncharacterized. The transcript has 9 exons. The record is from RefSeq and is a predicted model, not a curated record. NCBI's taxonomy places the organism in Eukaryota, Metazoa, Chordata, Lepidosauria, Squamata, Cordylidae.
GGACUGGAGUCCCAUGAGCUUGGAAUCUCCAAUGGCUCAACUGGGCAAGACAAUUGGUGUCUUUAAAUUCUGUCAGGGCCUUGUGGACAUAUUUUUCAGCCAGGGGUGUAGUGUUAAAUUUGGAUCGACUGACCACCCACUUUUAUUCAUGCUCAUGAUAAAGUCAGAAUCAAAUGGAUCACGUUGCGUGUUUUAUAUGCGCUGUGUCCCAAGUCUUGAGUGACCCAUGAAGAGAUGAGUUCUUCUUUAGUGCGCUCAUGGCCAUCUCGGAUCCUUAUUCCUUACUCAAGGAAAGCAUUGAUUUUGAAUGCUGGGCUCAAGGUUUUGAUGCUUUUCUGUCUAUUGAUAAAAUGGAAGGAAUCAUUUCACAUGCAACUGUUUAAAUUGGUUGUGUCAUGCAAGGGUUUUGAGAACUGUCUGGACUAAAGAAAUAGUUUGAUUGCCUUGUCAGCAAGAGAGGUGCCUGCAGCCUAGGCGGCAACCAUGCUAUCUUGCACAGACACAAAAAGCCUUUUGGAAGGUUGUGUCUUUGUUGAAGAUGAUGUUUAGCAUUUUAGCAUUCAAGACUCUUCAGACACGGAUUGCGAGAACGCCUGGCCUGAGAAAUUGACACCCGAGUGAAUGGAGGCGAAUGCACCUGCUUAAGUUGAGGAAGGCAGAUCACCAAAGGCGGCAGGAGUCCUUUGGUGAGGAUGGGAGGUCGGGAGAAGCUAAGAAGAAGGAGAGAAGAGACUCUACAGUGGGAGAACCACUUUGGGAAGAGCAGGAUCAGCCCCUUUAUCAUUUCGGUUUGCCUCUUCUGCUGCACCUUCUUCAGUUCGACAGUAUCGCUUUUUUGGUAAUCUGGCGACCGGAACGAUACACUUUACUUCUGAGGAACAGCUACAACUGGAAACAAGGUCAGCUUCAUGUUGUUGUUGUUGUUGUUAUAGCCCAGUAAGCUUCCAGACCACCUUGGGUUUAUUCUCUCUUUUUGACAGUUAAAGCACCACAUUUUCAUUGAUGCCAGGAGAUGUUGAACAGUAGGGCACACAUCCUGGGGUGCCUCUGUUAUGGCAGAAGAGAUAUUCCCAGACUGAUUGGGCAAGGUUCGGACCACAAUGUGUGUCUGGACAUUUAAAUUUGCAUUCUGAUUGGGCAAGACCUCUAGGGUUUUUAAAUUCUGUCUUGAUCGAAUUGGGCAAGAUCUCUAGGAUUUUUAAAUUGUAUCUGGAAUUGGGCAAGAUCAAGGCCUGUGUGGGCCUCGAUUUUUAAAUUGCAUCCCCCAGCUUGACCUUUACAAUUGUAUUCUGAUUGGGCAAGACCUCUAGGGUUUUUAAAUUCUGUAUGGAAUUGGGCAAGAUCAGGGCCUGUGUGGGCCUCGAUUUUUAAAUUGCAUCCCCCAGCUUGACCUUUACAAUUGUAUUCUGAUUGGGCAAGACCUCUAGGGUUUUUAAAUUCUGUAUGGAAUUGGGCAAGAUCAGGGCCUGUGUGGGCCUCGAUUUUUAAAUUGCUUCCCCCAGCUUGACUGAGCACACAAUCUCUAGGUUCCCUUAGAGUGAAUUGGGCAAGAUACCAUUUUUUAAAAAUUCCAUGUUUGGGCAGCUUUAAGCCAGUGGACUGGAGUCCCAUGAGCUUGGAAUCUCCAAUGGCUCAACUGGGCAAGACAAUUGGUGUCUUUAAAUUCUGUCAGGGCCUUGUGGACAUAUUUUUCAGCCAGGGGUGUAGUGUUAAAUUUGGAUCGACUGACCACCCACUUUUAUUCAUGCUCAUGAUAAAGUCAGAAUCAAAUGGAUCACGUUGCGUGUUUUAUAUGCGCUGUGUCCCAAGUCUUGAGUGACCCAUGAAGAGAUGAGUUCUUGUUUAGUGCGCUCAUGGCCAUCUCGGAUCCUUAUUCCUUACUCAAGGAAAGCAUUGAUUUUGAAUGCUGGGCUCAAGGUUUUGAUGCUUUUCUGUCUAUUGAUAAACUGGAAGGAAUCAUUUCACAUGCAAAUGUUUAAAUUGGUUGUGUCAUGCAAGGGUUUUGAGAACUGUCUGGACUAAAGAAAUAGUUUGAUUGCCUUGUCAGCAAGAGAGGUGCCUGCAGCCUAGGCGGCAACCAUGCUAUCUUGCACAGACACAGAAAGCCUUUUGGAAGGUUGUGUCUUUGUUGAAGAUGAUGUUUAGCAUUUUAGCAUUCAAGACUCUUCAGACACGGAUUGCGAGAACGCCUGGCCUGAGAAAUUGACACCCGAGUGAAUGGAGGCGAAUGCACCUGCUUAAGUUGAGGAAGGCAGAUCACCAAAGGCGGCAGGAGUCCUUUGGUGAGGAUGGGAGGUCGGGAGAAGCUAAGAAGAAGGAGAGAAGAGACUCUACAGUGGGAGAACCACUUUGGGAAGAGCAGGAUCAGCCCCUUUAUCAUUUUGGUUUCCCUCUUCUGCUGCACCUUCUUCAGUUCGACAGUAUCGCUUUUUUGGUAAUCUGGCGACCGGAACGAUACACUUUACUUCUGAGGAACAGCUACAACUGGAAACAAGGUCAGCUUCAUGUUGUUGUUGUUGUUGUUGUUAUAGCCCAGUAAGCUUCCAGACCACCUUGGGUUUAUUCUCUCUUUUUGACAGUUAAAGCACCACAUUUUCAUUGACGCCAGGAGAUGUUGAACAGUAGGGCACACAUCCUGGGGUGCCUCUGUUAUGGCAGAAGAGAUAUUCCCAGACUGAUUGGGCAAGGUUCGGACCACAAUGUGUGUCUGGACAUUUAAAUUUGCAUUCUGAUUGGGCAAGACCUCUAGGGUUUUUAAAUUCUGUCUUGAUCGAAUUGGGCAAGAUCUCUAGGAUUUUUAAAUUGUUUCUGGAAUUGGGCAAGAUCAAGGCCUGUGUGGGCCUCGAUUUUUAAAUUGCAUCCCCCAGCUUGACCUUUACAAUUGUAUUCUGAUUGGGCAAGACCUCUAGGGUUUUUAAAUUCUGUAUGGAAUUGGGCAAGAUCAGGGCCUGUGUGGGCCUCGAUUUUUAAAUUGCUUCCCCCAGCUUGACUGAGCACACAAUCUCUAGGUUCCCUUAGAGUGAAUUGGGCAAGAUACCAUUUUUUUGAAAUUCCAUGUUUGGGCAGCUUUAAGCCAGUGGACUGGAGUCCCAUGAGCUUGGAAUCUCCAAUGGCUCAACUGGGCAAGACAAUUGGUGUCUUUAAAUUCUGUCAGGGCCUUGUGGACAUAUUUUUCAGCCAGGGGUGUAGUGUUAAAUUUGGAUCGACUGACCACCCACUUUUAUUCAUGCUCAUGAUAAAGUCAGAAUCAAAUGGAUCACGUUGCGUGUUUUAUAUGCGCUGUGUCCCAAGUCUUGAGUGACCCAUGAAGAGAUGAGUUCUUGUUUAGUGCGCUCAUGGCCAUCUCGGAUCCUUAUUCCUUACUCAAGGAAAGCAUUGAUUUUGAAUGCUGGGCUCAAGGUUUUGAUGCUUUUCUGUCUAUUGAUAAAAUGGAAGGAAUCAUUUCACAUGCAACUGUUUAAAUUGGUUGUGUCAUGCAAGGGUUUUGAGAACUGUCUGGACUAAAGAAAUAGUUUGAUUGCCUUGUCAGCAAGAGAGGUGCCUGCAGCCUAGGCGGCAACCAUGCUAUCUUGCACAGACACAAAAAGCCUUUUGGAAGGUUGUGUCUUUGUUGAAGAUGAUGUUUAGCAUUUUAGCAUUCAAGACUCUUCAGACACGGAUUGCGAGAACGCCUGGCCUGAGAAAUUGACACCCGAGUGAAUGGAGGCGAAUGCACCUGCUUAAGUUGAGGAAGGCAGAUCACCAAAGGCGGCAGGAGUCCUUUGGUGAGGAUGGGAGGUCGGGAGAAGCUAAGAAGAAGGAGAGAAGAGACUCUACAGUGGGAGAACCACUUUGGGAAGAGCAGGAUCAGCCCCUUUAUCAUUUCGGUUUGCCUCUUCUGCUGCACCUUCUUCAGUUCGACAGUAUCGCUUUUUUGGUAAUCUGGCGACCGGAACGAUACACUUUACUUCUGAGGAACAGCUACAACUGGAAACAAGGUCAGCUUCAUGUUGUUGUUGUUGUUGUUGUUGUUAUAGCCCAGUAAGCUUCCAGACCACCUUGGGUUUAUUCUCUCUUUUUGACAGUUAAAGCACCACAUUUUCAUUGACGCCAGGAGAUGUUGAACAGUAGGGCACACAUCCUGGGGUGCCUCUGUUAUGGCAGAAGAGAUAUUCCCAGACUGAUUGGGCAAGGUUCGGACCACAAUGUGUGUCUGGACAUUUAAAUUUGCAUUCUGAUUGGGCAAGACCUCUAGGGUUUUUAAAUUCUGUCUUGAUCGAAUUGGGCAAGAUCUCUAGGAUUUUUAAAUUGUUUCUGGAAUUGGGCAAGAUCAAGGCCUGUGUGGGCCUCGAUUUUUAAAUUGCAUCCCCCAGCUUGACCUUUACAAUUGUAUUCUGAUUGGGCAAGACCUCUAGGGUUUUUAAAUUCUGUAUGGAAUUGGGCAAGAUCAGGGCCUGUGUGGGCCUCGAUUUUUAAAUUGCUUCCCCCAGCUUGACUGAGCACACAAUCUCUAGGUUCCCUUAGAGUGAAUUGGGCAAGAUACCAUUUUUUUGAAAUUCCAUGUUUGGGCAGCUUUAAGCCAGUGGACUGGAGUCCCAUGAGCUUGGAAUCUCCAAUGGCUCAACUGGGCAAGACAAUUGGUGUCUUUAAAUUCUGUCAGGGCCUUGUGGACAUAUUUUUCAGCCAGGGGUGUAGUGUUAAAUUUGGAUCGACUGACAACCCACUUUUAUUCAUGCUCAUGAUAAAGUCAGAAUCAAAUGGAUCACGUUGCGUGUUUUAUAUGCGCUGUGUCCCAAGUCUUGAGUGACCCAUGAAGAGAUGAGUUCUUGUUUAGUGCGCUCAUGGCCAUCUCGGAUCCUUAUUCCUUACUCAAGGAAAGCAUUGAUUUUGAAUGCUGGGCUCAAGGUUUUGAUGCUUUUCUGUCUAUUGAUAAAAUGGAAGGAAUCAUUUCACAUGCAACUGUUUAAAUUGGUUGUGUCAUGCAAGGGUUUUGAGAACUGUCUGGACUAAAGAAAUAGUUUGAUUGCCUUGUCAGCAAGAGAGGUGCCUGCAGCCUAGGCGGCAACCAUGCUAUCUUGCACAGACACAAAAAGCCUUUUGGAAGGUUGUGUCUUUGUUGAAGAUGAUGUUUAGCAUUUUAGCAUUCAAGACUCUUCAGACACGGAUUGCGAGAACGCCUGGCCUGAGAAAUUGACACCCGAGUGAAUGGAGGCGAAUGCACCUGCUUAAGUUGAGGAAGGCAGAUCACCAAAGGCGGCAGGAGUCCUUUGGUGAGGAUGGGAGGUCGGGAGAAGCUAAGAAGAAGGAGAGAAGAGACUCUACAGUGGAAGAACACACUUUGGGAAGAGCAGGAUCAGCCCCUUUAUCAUUUUGGUUUCCCUCUUCUGCUGCACCUUCUUCAGUUCGACAGUAUCGCUUUUUUGGUAAUCUGGCGACUGGAACGAUACACUUUACUUCUGAGGAACAGCUACAACUGGAAACAAGGUCAGCUUCAUGUUGUUGUUGUUGUUGUUAUAGCCCAGUAAGCUUCCAGACCACCUUGGGUUUAUUCUCUCUUUUUGACAGUUAAAGCACCACAUUUUCAUUGAUGCCAGGAGAUGUUGAACAGUAGGGCACACAUCCUGGGGUGCCUCUGUUAUGGCAGAAGAGAUAUUCCCAGACUGAUUGGGCAAGGUUCGGACCACAAUGUGUGUCUGGACAUUUAAAUUUGCAUUCUGAUUGGGCAAGACCUCUAGGGUUUUUAAAUUCUGUCUUGAUCGAAUUGGGCAAGAUCUCUAGGAUUUUUAAAUUGUAUAUGGAAUUGGGCAAGAUCAAGGCCUGUGUGGGCCUCGAUUUUUAAAUUGCAUCCCCCAGCUUGACCUUUACAAUUGUAUUCUGAUUGGGCAAGACCUCUAGGGUUUUUAAAUUCUGUAUGGAAUUGGGCAAGAUCAGGGCCUGUGUGGGCCUCGAUUUUUAAAUUGCAUCCCCCAGCUUGACCUUUACAAUUGUAUUCUGAUUGGGCAAGACCUCUAGGGUUUUUAAAUUCUGUAUGGAAUUGGGCAAGAUCAGGGCCUGUGUGGGCCUCGAUUUUUAAAUUGCAUCCCCCAGCUUGACUGAGCACACGAUCUCUAGGUUCCCUUAGAGUGAAUUGGGCAUGAUACCAUUCUCUUUAAAUUCCAUGUUUGGGCAGCUUUAAGCCAGUCGACUGGAGUCCCAUGAGCUUGGAAUCUCCAAUGGCUCAACUGGGCAAGACAAUUGGUGUCUUUAAAUUCUGUCAGGUCCUUGUGGACAUAUUUUUCAGCCAGGGGUGUAGUGUUAAAUUUGAAUCGACUGACCACCCACUUUUAUUCAUGCUCAUGAUAAAGUCAGAAUCAAAUGGAUCACGUUGCGUGUUUUAUAUGCGCUGUGUCCCAAGUCUUGAGUGACCCAUGAAGAGAUGAGUUCUUGUUUAGUGCGCUCAUGGCCAUCUCGGAUCCUUAUUCCUUACUCAAGGAAAGCAUUGAUUUUGAAUGCUGGGCUCAAGGUUUUGAUGCUUUUCUGUCUAUUGAUAAACUGGAAGGAAUCAUUUCACAUGCAAAUGUUUAAAUUGGUUGUGUCAUGCAAGGGUUUUGAGAACUGUCUGGACUAAAGAAAUAGUUUGAUUGCCUUGUCAGCAAGAGAGGUGCCUGCAGCCUAGGCGGCAACCAUGCUAUCUUGCACAGACACAAAAAGCCUUUUGGAAGUUUGUGUCUUUGUUGAAGAUGAUGUUUAGCAUUUUAGCAUUCAAGACUCUUCAGACACGGAUUGCGAGAACGCCUGGCCUGAGAAAUUGACACCCGAGUGAAUGGAGGCGAAUGCACCUGCUUAAGUUGAGGAAGGCAGAUCACCAAAGGCGGCAGGAGUCCAGUGGUGAGGAUGGGGUGAGUAACUGGGCCUGACUGGUUGGAUGAUGCCCCAUCCGUACUGGGCGUUUUCCAAACCAGAUGCUAAUUUUUUUUCCCUUUAAGUUCGGCACUGACAUUUUCAUUGACUUAGUGAAGGGGUGUUGCGACAGCUACCUGGGGAACUCUGGAAAUUGGCCCAGAAUUAUGUAAGGAUGACCAGAAACUGUAUAUUUAUUAAAAUUGACUUGGACAAUUCUUUUUAAAAAUAUAUAUAUUUUAAAGUAACCUGGAAAUUGUACUGUCAGAGUGAAUGCAGAAAAAAAGUGACGUAACAUCAGAGAAUCGCUGGGGAAGUGAUGUGAAACUGAGGUAAUCUUCUGCCUUCUUUUUCAAAUUGUAAGUGAAAUAAAAGCAAAAAGUAAGAAAUAUCUUACAUAAAAGAUGCAUGGGUGAGGAGGCAUUUGGGCAAAUGGAACCAUCCCCCCCGCAGCCCCCCAGCCCCAAUCAGUGACAAAAUGUGGAGCCCCACCACCACAUGGAGCUCUAAAAUGGGUCGGGAAAUCCCGGAUGGUGUUGGGGAACUCUGACUCAAUGUAGGCUUCCCAACGUCGGGAUUGGCUGAUCCCCGACAUCCUCCAACGUGGCCCAUCUCAGGCCAUGUCCAACACAACUGAUGCAGACUUGAACAGCCGUAUAUUAAGCACCUUCUCUCUUUCUGUUCCGAUUCUGCCCCCAAACUGAGCUGAACAGACCCAAGCCCAGAGAUGGAAGGGGUGCUGAAAAGGCUGGAGAACAGCAGAGGCUGGCUUCUACGAAUCCUUCGGUGGACUGCAUCCUCCUCAUGACUCUGAUGACAGUAGCAAUGGACCGAGAGAGAACGUACAUUACGUGUUCAGGACUACAGAAAUCCCCCUCCACUUGGCCUCGUGCAGAGGGGAGGGAGUUUGUCCCAGCCCCGCUCUGCACGAGGCCCAAGAAGCGGGCCGAUUGGCCCUUUGGGUUAGGGGGUGGGGUUUCAGCUGGGAUGAUCCCCGCCCCGUUCUCCUCAGUUUGAGCCAGGCAUUCCCCUCCCUCCCUCCCUGGUACAGAGCGGGUCUAGCGACUGGUCGCCCAACGGGGCCGAGUAGGAAUUUUUGGCUCCCAACGCAUUGGCCACUGUUGGGGUUUUUUUCGCCUACUCCGUUCUUUGUUCCAGGUGUGUAGUUAGAGUUAGGCCGGUCACAAUGGCAGUAACAGUGCGGGCGGGGUGGUAAUUCGAGGGUUUUCCGAGCCAGGGUGUGUCGCCCAGUAAGGUGCUGGGUAGGACGUCAGAGUUCUAACCCGGUUCUCUUGGCCCGCACUGUUCUCUAAGGGUGAUUAAUCACCUGGUGUUCCAGUCCGCCAUGUCUUUUGUUACAGUUAAUAAAGUUGUGGCCCUUUUACCCAUACUAAGUCUACGUGUCUUCUUGGACUGGGGGCUGGGGAAAAGGAUUCCACUUUUGUGUGCUGAUCAGGUGCACACUGCCUUGAUUCUUCCACUCAGAACAAAACUCAUUCCGUGCACAGAUGAAAAAGAUCUGAGGGAACAUUCAGAGGCACUCUUACCCCUGGAUUUCUGGGUGAACUCCAAGGCCUCCACACAUCCUGGGGGCCCCAACAUCCUUUUUAGUCUAUCCUGGCCCAUUGUUUUCCUGGCGACCGAGCAUGACUGUUGCCUGCACCGGAGUUGACUUCUGCUUUAAAGACAAUGGGGGGAGUGGGGAAAGAAAUAUGGAUGAUGGAAAUAUGUUACGCUGCGUGUUGAAAUGUUCCUGCUAACGCAUAUUUCAAUAAAUAUAACUGUUUUUUAUUCAUA